RNAcentral lists this ribosomal RNA (256 nucleotides) under uncultured bacterium. RNAcentral describes it as "partial 16S ribosomal RNA". It matches the Rfam family "Bacterial small subunit ribosomal RNA", at positions 524 to 776 of the family's 1533-position model. The record is from RNAcentral.
UACGUAGGGUGCAAGCGUUGUCCGGAAUUAUUGGGCGUAAAGAGCUCGUAGGCGGUCUGUCGCGUCUGCUGUGAAAACUCGGGGCUUAACCCCGGGCCUGCAGUGGGUACGGGCAGACUAGAGUGCGGUAGGGGAGACUGGAAUUCCUGGUGUAGCGGUGGAAUGCGCAGAUAUCAGGAGGAACACCGAUGGCGAAGGCAGGUCUCUGGGCCAUUACUGACACUGGAGAAAGCGGAAAGCAUGGGGAGCGAACAGG